This is a long non-coding RNA of Cynoglossus semilaevis (tongue sole), 159 nucleotides long. RefSeq lists it as uncharacterized. NCBI's taxonomy places the organism in Eukaryota, Metazoa, Chordata, Actinopteri, Pleuronectiformes, Cynoglossidae. The transcript is spliced from 3 exons. The record is from RefSeq and is a predicted model, not a curated record.
GAGAGAGAGAGUCCGAGCUGCUGCACGGGUCGGAAUAACCAUUGUUCUGAGUACAGCAGGAGGAAAACGGUGUGCUACUGUGACACCUACUGUCAGAAGACCGGAGACUGCUGCGAGGACUACCAGCGCGUGUGCCAGUUAUCUGCCGUCGACUGUGUC